GAUGAAGAACGUAGCGAAAUGCGAUAAGUAAUGUGAAUUGCAGAAUUCAGUGAAUCAUCGAAUCUUUGAACGCACCUUGCACCCUUUGGCAUUCCGAAGGGUAUGCUCGUUUGAGUGUCAUUGUACUCUCACACUUCCAAUCUUUGGAUUGGGAGCGGUGGACUUGGGUGUUGCUGCUUACUGUGGCUCACCUCAAAUCGAUUCGUGCACCUCUUGGUUGGACAUAGUACGGCGUGAUAAGUGUCUUCGCCGGCACCUCAGUAGAGGGUGGCUGAUCAGGAGCUCUGUGCUUCAAACCGUCCUCGGACAACAACUGACAACUUGACCUCAAAGCGAGUAGGACUACCCGCUGAACUUAAGCAUAUCAAUAAGCGGAGGA
RNAcentral lists this unclassified non-coding RNA (379 nucleotides) under soil metagenome. RNAcentral's name for it is "partial contains 5.8S ribosomal RNA, internal transcribed spacer 2, and large subunit ribosomal RNA". The stretch from base 1 to 120 matches the Rfam family "5.8S ribosomal RNA", at positions 35 to 154 of the family's 154-position model. The record is from RNAcentral.